Molecule: ribosomal RNA, 253 nt
Filed under: uncultured bacterium
Lineage: Bacteria
Description: partial 16S ribosomal RNA
Rfam family: Bacterial small subunit ribosomal RNA
Source: RNAcentral
UACAGAGGUCCCAAGCGUUGUUCGGAUUCACUGGGCGUAAAGGGUGCGUAGGUGGCGGGGUAAGUUCGAUGUGAAAUCUCUGGGCUCAACCCAGAAAUGGCAUUGAAUACUAUCUUGCUUGAGGGUCGGAGGGGAGACUGGAAUUCUCGGUGUAGCAGUGAAAUGCGUAGAUAUCGAGAGGAACACCAGUGGCGAAGGCGAGUCUCUGGACGACUCCUGACACUGAGGCACGAAAGCUAGGGGAGCAAACAGG